This 459-nucleotide ribosomal RNA is filed under the name uncultured bacterium. RNAcentral's name for it is "partial 16S ribosomal RNA". It matches the Rfam family "Bacterial small subunit ribosomal RNA", at positions 338 to 795 of the family's 1533-position model. The record is from RNAcentral.
CCUACGGGUGGCAGCAGUGAGGAAUAUUGGUCAAUGGCCGGAAGGCUGAACCAGCCAAGCCGCGUGAAGGACGAAGGUGCCAAGCAUUGUAAACUUCUUUUGUCAAGGGACAAAAUCAGGCUCGAGAGCCUGACCGAGGGUACUUGAAGAAAACGCAUCGGCUAACUCCGUGCCAGCAGCCGCGGUAAUACGGAGGAUGCGGGCGUUAUCCGGAUUUAUUGGGUUUAAAGGGUUCGUAGGCGUGCUGUUAAGUCAGCGGUAAAAGCCCGGGGCUAAACCCCGGCGAGCCGUUGAGACUGGGUGUCUGGAGAUGUCGAGAGGUAUGCGGAAUGCGCAGUGUAGCGGUGAAAUGCGUAGAUAUUGCGCAGAACUCCGAUUGCGAAGGCAGCAUACCGGCGGCGAUCUGACGCUGAGGCACGAAGGCGUGGGUAUCGAACAGGAUGAGAUACCCUUGUAGUC